This 86-nucleotide transfer RNA is filed under the name Gammaproteobacteria bacterium. Its description in RNAcentral is "tRNA-Leu". It matches the Rfam family "tRNA". From Rfam's summary of the family: Transfer RNA (tRNA) molecules are approximately 80 nucleotides in length. RNAcentral also lists the same sequence under 2 other names. The record is from RNAcentral. Lineage: Bacteria; Pseudomonadati; Pseudomonadota; Gammaproteobacteria.
GCCCGGGUGGCGGAAUGGUAGACGCAGCGGACUUAAAAUCCGCUGGCCGCAAGGCCGUGCCGGUUCGAGUCCGGCCCUGGGCACCA